RNAcentral lists this small nuclear RNA (106 nucleotides) under Dasypus novemcinctus (nine-banded armadillo). The record is from RNAcentral. Lineage: Eukaryota; Metazoa; Chordata; Mammalia; Cingulata; Dasypodidae.
GUGCUUGCUUCAGCAGCACGUAUACUAAAAUGGGAAAGAUACAGAAAGGAUUAGCAUGGUCCCUGCUCAAGGAUGAUACACAAUUUGUGAAGCCUUCCAUAUUUUU